GCAAUCGCAUAGAACUACGCUUAUACUUACAGCUAAGACUCGGUUCCUCCGCGAACUUUAACAAUUUUUCCUCAUUUUUCUCUGUUCAAAUGUAGAAAUUUAAUCCAUUCUAUAAUCAAAAUUUUAAUUUCUCUAAAAUUUUUAAUAUUAAAAAAAAAGUUUGGAGUUGAAUUGAGAAAUAGUUGUAGGUAGAUUCGGAAAUCCGAUGACAACGAUUUUCAGUCCCGGUCGGAGCCCCGGAAGUUCGAGGCUUCAGUUAGGAACAGCUAGUGGAGUGUCCAGGCUUAGAUCUUCGUCGCUUAAGAAGCCGCCGGAGCCGUUGCGCAGGUCGGUGGCGGAUUGUCUUUCUUCUUCGUCGUCUUCUUCUUUUUCGCCGGCGGCGGGGGCUGGAGGUCUUAGUUCGUAUCACCAUGGAAGUCAGUUGGUUUUAAAUGAAGCUUCGAGGACACUUCGGGACUAUCUGGCAGCACCCUCAACAACUGACCAGUCUUACAUUGUUAUUUUAGAGCAUACAAUUGCAGAGAGAGAACGCAGCCCAGCUGUAGUGGGAAGGUGUGUGGCACUCCUGAAGCGAUAUCUCUUAAGGUAUAAGCCCAGUGAGGAGACGUUGCUGCAAAUAGAUCGGUUUUGUGUCAGCUUAAUUGCUGAAUGUGACAUAAGUCCAAAUCAAAGGUUGUCACCUUGGUCUCGGUCUUUAAAUCAACAAUCGGGUUCAUCAGCAAUAUCAACAUCAUCUGCAAGUGCUUCUCCUUUGUUGCCUGUAUCUAGUUUUGCUUCUGUAGCCCUUGUAAAGUCUUUGAAUUAUGUGAGAUCCUUAGUGGCUCAACAUAUUCCAAAGCGUUCAUUCCAGCCGGCAGGUUUUGCUGGGGCAACCUUGGCAUCGAGGCAGUCAUUUCCUUCGUUGACAUCUUUGUUGAGUAGAUCUUUCAAUUCCCAGCGAUGCCCUGUGAAUGUUGGAGAGUCUUCAGAGAAGAAAGAUGCUACAGCUUUAUCUGUUUCAAACUUGUCAAACAUUGAGGACGCUGAUCGAAUAGAGAAUCCUGAAUAUAUUGCACAUGAUGUUUUGAAAUGGCGCUGGCUUAGGGAUCAUCAGUCACCCUUUACUGAAAGUGACCACUCUGCGUAUGUGCAAGACAUGAGUGCACAUAAUUUCUUAGAGGUAGGAGCAGCUGCUUUACUUGUUGGAGACAUGGAAGCAAAAAUGAAUGGCCAGCCCUGGAAAUAUUUUGGCACUGCUGAUAUGCCUUAUCUUGAUCAACUCUUACAGCCUUCACCAGUCACAACAAUUGCCAAUUCUGCUUCUGCUCGCUCCCAUUUGAGAGCAAUUACAGCAUUGAAACGCAGUAAAGGAGGACCUCAUCAAAUUUGGGAUGAUUCUCCUGCAAGCACAUUCCGCCCACGUGCCCGACCACUUUUCCAAUAUCGCCAUUACAGUGAACAACAACCUUUGCGUUUGAACCCUGCUGAGGUAUGCGAGGUCAUUGCAGCCGUCUGCUCUGAGACAUCUUUAACAAAUGCUAAUACCAUGACGGUAUCUUCUAGAUUAAGUAAUAACAGUGCAAAGCCAUCAAUGGAUGUGGCUGUGAGCGUCCUUAUUAAGCUGGUUAUUGACAUGUAUGUCUUGGAUUCUGGAACUGCUGCUCCUCUCACUCUAUCUAUGCUUGAGGAGAUGCUUAGUUCUCCAAGGUCAGCGUGUAGGGUGCGUGCUUUUGAUUUAAUUCUAAACCUUGCAGUCCAUGCUCACUUGUUAGAGCCACUGAUAAUUGAUGAUAAUUCUGCAAUUGAGGAAGAGUAUUCUCAAGAAUUACUUUUAAAUAGUGAAGAUCAGCUUACCACGCAAGGGAGAAGGAAACUAGCUUCUUCCAAGAAGUUGGGAAGCACCUCAGCUAUUGAUAAAUUUGAGUCUUGGAUUUUAAACAUUUUAUAUGAUAUACUUCUUCUUCUUGUUCAGAUUGACGAGAUGGAAGAAGCUGUCUGGGCUUCUGCCCUAAGCUGUUUACUAUAUUUUGUGUGCGAUAGAGGCAACAUUUGGAGAAAUCGAUUAAAAGGACUUGACAUCAGGGUUGUCAAGUCAAUUUUGGUGAUUAGCCGGAUAAAUUCCUGGGCUGAAGUUGUGCAUUGCAAGCUUGUUUGUAUCCUAACAAACAUGUUAUAUCAAGUACCUGAUGAAUCUACUAAGGCCGUCAUGAGUACAGCUAAUUUUCUUGUUGACCAGCUUGACCUGAUUGGAGGAAUUGAUUUUAUCUUCAUUGAGUAUUCAUUGUCAACCUCAAGGGACGAAAGAAAGCAUCUUUAUUUGGUGCUUUUCGACUAUGUUUUGCAUCAAAUAAAUGAAACAUGCAUAUCAACCGGAGCUUUUGAAUAUAAUGAUGAUGAGAUUCAGCCAAUUGCUGCACUGCUUACUUUGGCUGAUGCACCGGAAGCCUUUUAUAUCUCUGUUAAGCUAGGGGUGGAAGGCAUUGGGGAGCUUUUGAGAAGAUCACUGUCAACUACAUUGGAUAGAUACCCUAACGGCGAGCGGUUACAUACGCUUUUGGAAAAUAUUACGGAGAAAUUAGAUAGAAUAAUUAGUUCAUUUACUCAUUUGGACACAGAGUUCUUUCAGCUGAAACAGAUAACAAAAUCCAACAAGUUGAAGGGCAAUGUUGAGGGUUCAUCUACACGAAAUAGUGUUGCAAUGAAAGCAAAGCUGGCUUGGUCUAUUUUACAUUCUCUUCUUCAUUCGGAUAGAAUCCUUUACCGCCAAAAUGGAUUUAUCUGGUUAGGAGAUCUGCUUAUUGCUGAAAUAAGUGACUCGAGGAAUGGGAGUAUUUGGUCUAAUGUCAGGAGCUUGCAGAAUAAAAUUGCUUAUGCUGGUGGUCAUGAUUCCUCUGAUCCUUCUGAUAUUCCGUUGUCUAUCUGGCUGAUGUGUGGUCUUCUGAAGUCGAAGAACAAUUCUAUUAGGUGGGGCUUCCUAGUUGUUCUAGAGAGGCUUCUCAUGCGAUGCAAGUUUUUGUUAGAUGAGAGUGAAAUGCAACAGCCAAGCAACAGUGAUGUUAGCCCUGGCAAUAGGGAUACUCGACUGGAGAAAGCAAUUACAGUGAUAGACAUCAUGAGCAGUGCUUUGUCCUUGGUGGCUCAAAUAAACGAAACAGACCGUAUAAAUAUUUUAAAGAUGUGUGAUAUUCUAUUCUCUCAAUUGUGCUUGAAAGUUCCCAAUUCAAAUUUGAUGCCAUUUGGAGAAGGAAUACAGCGGCCUAAAGUUUUCACUCGCACAGAAGAAAUUAGAAAAACUAGUAAUAUAAAUUUUGUGUCUCAACAAGAAAGCUGUCCCUGGGAUCAGAUAAUGGAGGAAACUGAUAGCAAAUCAGGCUACAGUGUUAGUAGUCAUUUUGUAUGCGAGACAGCUUCUAUGGCUGCGCUGCUACUCCGAGGACAAGCCAUUGUGCCAAUGCAAUUAGUUGCACGUGUUCCAGCUGCUCUUUUCUAUUGGCCUUUGAUUCAACUUGCGGGUGCAGCAACUGACAACAUUGCACUAGGUGUUGCUGUUGGAAGCAAAGGAAGAGGGAACCUUCCUGGUGCUACUUCUGAUAUUCGGGCUACCCUUCUUUUGCUUCUAGUUGGUAAAUGUACUGCUGAUCCUACAGCUUUUCAGGAAGUUGGUGGAGAAGAAUUUUUCAGGGAACUUUUGGAUGAUACUGAUUCUAGGGUGGCAUAUUACUCUUCGGCUUUUCUAUUGAAGAGAAUGAUGACUGAAAAACCAGAAAAGUACCAACACAUGCUGCAAAAGCUUAUCUAUAAAGCUCAACAGAGUAACAAUGAAAAAUUGCUUGAGAAUCCAUAUCUUCAGAUGCGCGGGAUAUUCCAACUAUCAAAUGAACUUUGAACUUAGUUGCAUUUGACGAUUCUUCUCUGUAGAGUUUAAAUAUACAUCCAGCUGGAGGCACUGUAGUGUUCAUUAACAGGACUUUCCUUGUGAAUUUUUAACCCUAGCAAUAUUUGGCCCGACUCUCUGAGUCUGUUCUUGAUGUAUGCUUGACUAAGUGAGCCUGCACAAGAUAGUUUGGAAUCCUAAAGUAGUUCUAAGAUGCAAAGUUACUGAAUUUAGGCGAAGACUUUGCGAUUCCAAGCCUGACUCCCUUUCUUAGGGAAAAAAUGAUUAGAAUUGUGAGCUUUGAGACUCUGGAUGAUGGUGUAAAUUCUUAGAAUGCUGCUAUAUAUGCUCCCAGAUCUGCUGUACAAAUGGAGUGAAGGAAUGCCAGGAGAAAAAGUGGAGCGAUUGGAGCUGUCAAUUCAUCUGCCCUACAGUUUUGUUACUGGAUUGUGUAUAUCAAAGGGUUGAACAUAUCUUCAGAUAUUCUUUAUGCUUUACACAAUACAGAAGCAUUUCUGGGCAGCUAAAGGAGACUUUUUUUCUUUGUACAGAAUUAGAUUUUCCCUUGGCCUUACUUUUUUUUUUUUUUUGCAUUUUGGGGUUAAUAUCUGCUACUUUUUAAAGGCCAUCCUUGGUAAUAAAAAAAAGAACCAUUCAAGCUUUAACUCAUAGCUGUUCGUUUCCGCGAUGGUGAUACGAACUAAAAAAUAGGACCUCUUUAACAUGCUCCGAUUCCGGUAACAGGGAGUUAUCUCACCUUGGAUGUCUUUGUUUUUAAUGGACAUCUCCAAAGUGUGUUGCAUGACAUGACAUUGUAAAUAUCUGAAUUUGGCUUUUACAUUUUUUUGACUUUGCCUUAUUCUAUUCUUGUAAAAAUGUUUUGCUGAUAAUUUUUGCAUCAUAUUGCAAGUUUUGAUUGUUUGAUUUUUGAAGGAAAAAGAAAAGACAAGAAAAGGCUUUGCAUCUGA
Gossypium raimondii (Peruvian cotton) is the source of this 4821-nucleotide RNA transcript. RefSeq lists it as uncharacterized. The record is from RefSeq and is a predicted model, not a curated record. NCBI's taxonomy places the organism in Eukaryota, Viridiplantae, Streptophyta, Magnoliopsida, Malvales, Malvaceae. The transcript is spliced from 19 exons.